UACGUGUAAUUUCAGAGUAACGUAACCUGUUAUAUUUGGUUACAUUGCUGUUACACUGCUGCUAUAUUACUGUGUUCACUGGGUACCAACACUUCUUUCUCUGCACUUGUAUCCUUCUCUGGAACUCGCUUCCUCCUAGCAUCAAAGAAUCCGGCACGCUGCACUCCUUCAAACGCGAACUCUUUGGUCAUCUGUGGCAGCGCUCAAUGAAUCAGCAUCCCUAGGCACACGCGCCUUCUCCGCUAUCACCCUCGUGAAUGCGCGGUUGCGUACGCAUUCUGUGCGUAACCAGUACUGGCAAGGCGUUUUCUCUCAUAUUUCGCUCAUUUGUGGUACUCAGUGUCAAAUCUCACAACUCGCUCUCUUCCUCUGCUGAAUGUUACGCGUUGCCGCGAUGAUUAUUCCCUUCGUUUGCUUUUAUUACUUAUCCAUCCGUUUCUCGUCCCGAUUCGCGUGUGUUUUUCUUAACUGCGUCAGCUUGUACUUUUUCAUGUUUUCGUGUUAUUCUCUAUACUUUAUUGUUUUUAUUGUUUAUAUUAUUUAUAUUGCAUAUUUCAUAAUCUUUUACUGCUUCCGCCGCUGUCUCAUCCGCCUUCUGUUUAUCUAUAUAAAAUGCUUAGUCUCCAUAUCUUAUGUAUUAUCUAUCGCUUUGUACAUUCUUAGAGGGCUUGCCCUAGAAUGAUCAAUAAACGCCUCCCCCCCCCCUCUCUCUCUCUCUCUCUCUCUCUCUCUCUCUCUCUCUCUCACUCUGGUCCGGGAACGUCUCAUGACCUUGGUCCACCGGACGCUAGAACUUGCUCUCUUACGGUGACCUUGGCUUUAGCUGCUGUUAGAGACGUUGUUAUUUCUAAAAAGCGUGCGCGACGUGUCCUAACGCAGAGAAAGAUUUGCGGUGUCGAGUCUGAACGGAGAAUCCUUGUAAAUGAACUACUGCCUAAAGAUAUUUACGAGCUUUUGCAACUUACCAGGCGUGUAGCUAAAGAGCGAUCUUAUAAAUACGUUUGGGCGAGGGAUGGCUGCAUAAAUGUGAGGCGCUCAGAUGGUGAACCAGUCAUCCAGAUCUCUUCCAACGCUGAUUUGGAUAAACUUGUAUGACAUGCUCCUUCUGUCCGCCCGUCAACCUCUGGCUCACCUCCUAUCUUAUCUUCAGGAUUGGCUUCUUUUUGCAUUGCUCAAUUUAAUGCUAAUUCCCUGCAAAGGCAUAUUGACUUUAUCCGACUUCACUUCUAUUCCACCUUCUAUCACGUAAUUUCAGUAUCCGAGACUUGGCUACACGCGGGCAUUUCUGACAAUCUUGUCGCUCUUGAUGAUUACUUUCUGAUCCGGAAUGACCGCGUUGGUCGAAUCGGUGGCGGUGUCGCUUGCUUUGUUCACAAAUCAUUGAAAGCCACAGUUGUAGCUGUAUCUAGGGGAGUUCAUGUCAAUGACCCGGAAUACCUGAUCAUCGACAUUCGAAUGCCAUAUAACGAGUCAUUACUCUUUGGCUCUGUCUAUAGAAGAUCUAAGGGCUUACUCCUUCAUAACUUCAUCGAUGAGCUAUCUAGGUUAUCCCACCUGUAUAAGAAUGUUGUCAUAGGUGGUGAUCUGAACUGCAAUCUUUCCACCAACAACUUUGAAGCUAAUCACCUCCGUGAACUUAUGUCAAGUCUCUCACUCCAUAGACUAUUCUCUGAGGCCACUUACCAUACUGCCACAUCCGAUUCGGUUCUUGAUGUCCUUAUUGUAGAUGAUUAAGAUAAGGUCUCAUCUUUCUCGAAGUCUGAUUGUCCAUUCAUCGCUGGGCAUGAUCUUUUGAGCCUCUCGCUUGCGUUAGAUUUCGUCAGUAGCCCUGAACGCACUAUGUUGCGUUGCAGUUAUAGAGGUAUUGUAGCGGCGGAUUUUUGCGAUUUUCUUACCACGAAUAUGACUAAUGCUUAGUUUCAAUUCGAUCUCCUGCUUAAUGACACAGAUGCUCAAUUACCCUGUGCCUUGUUGUCCAGCAUUCUCUAGGGUGCUCUUAAUGCUUUUGCGCCAGCUUGAACUUUCGCAAUCAGGAGGCCCCCUGCAAGAUGGCUUUCCGACGAUCUCAAAACUCGUCUGCGCGAUCGGAAUUUAAUAUAUAAACAGGCGAAGCGUUCGAACAGUCUACUUGGUUUUGCUAGGUAUCGACUCUUGCGCAAUCAACUUAAUACUGAUAUCAAACGUGCCAAAAGUGAAUUUCUUUUAGGUUUACUUGAAGGUGUCACCGAUCCAACUAAACUAUGGAGGGAGCUUGCGCGUCUCAGGCUUGUUAAAUCCACUUUUGCAUCGCCUCUCCAAUUUUUCACAUCUGAUCAGUUGAAUUCAUAUUAUGCUUCAGUGUCUUGCGCUUCGCCGCUGCGUUAUGAAGACUUUUGUUCUUUGCUCUUCAAUUUUACUUGUCCUCGUGAUCCUUCUAAGUUUGUCAUUUCUCAAGUCCUGCCUCGUACUAUCCUUAAGUUCAUUAAGUCGGGACCCCUUCACUCUUAUGCUUCGGGAAUUGAUGGCAUUCCUCUCUAUAUUUUGCGUAUGGCACGGCCUCACAUCUCUCAGUGGAUCGUUGCAUUAUUCAACCACUCUUUGAAGUCUGGGUCGUUUCCAUCUAGCUGGAAAUGUGCGUUUAUUCGCCCACUCGCAAAGAUCCGUGCUCCUUCAUCUCCAGCUGAUACUCGACCUAUUGCCAACUUACCUAAGCUUUCCAAAAUUCUGGAGAGAAUAGUUGCUGAACAGAUUAAUGAGUAUGUAUGUGUGCACAAUCUGUUAGAUCCUUAUCAGUCUGCUUAUAGGUCAAAUCAUUGUACUCAGUCUGCUCUCCUACGUAUUGGCGACGACAUUAAGCGAGGGAUAAAGAAUGGACUUAUUACAAUUAUGAUCUUAUUUGAUUUCAGCAAGGCAUUUGACACAGUCUCUCAUCUUCGCUUAUGAAACUUAGGAAGCUAGGCUUUUCUGAUCGUGUGCUUACUUGGUUCUUCUCGUACUUAACGGGUCGUUCGCAGACUGUGAUUGAUGAUGUUGGCAAUAGUUCUGGAUGGAUUUCGACGGCCCUGGAUGUCCCGCAAGGCUCAGUGUUGGGACCGCUUUUGUUCAUGCUCUUUUUAAAUGACAUAGGAAAAGUUUUAUCAUUUUCCAACUACAUGCUUUUUGCAGAUGACCUACAAAUCUAUUACUCUUGUUCGCCCGCCGUCGUCCUCAGAGGUAUUGAAUCCAUCUCCGUAGAUGCAUGUGCCAUCUCUGACUAUGCCAAACAAAAUGAUCUAAAGCUCAAUCUCACCAAAACUAAAGCUAUUAUCUUUGCCAGCCAAUCCCACGUCAUCAAUAUCGACUUCACUUUCUUACCACCAGUCAUUGUUGACUCGAUGCCAUUACCUUAUGUGAAUGAAGUGAGAAACUUGGGCGUUAUCUUUACGUCUAACUUUUCAUGGAAGAAGCAUGUCCUACAUGUCUCGAGGUGCGUUCAUCAUUCCUUACACAAGCUUAAAUUUAACAAAAACUCACUCCCGACCAAACUACGCAUCAAACUAGUUUGUUAUAUGCGAGCGUCUUGAGGCAGGAUAGGCGCGCGUGAUUUGCGAAAAGCGGAGCGGAUGGUCGUGCGGGAUGGAGCGGGGGAAACCGACGGAAGAAAUUUCGUUGGCCUGACUAGUCAUCGUCGGAGAGACGAGACGAACGGGUGAAACGCAAGAGAGCGCAGCGCUGCUGGGAAAGCCGAGGCCAGCAGACGGAAAAUCAACUCCCGGCUAAGAUCGAAACGACGUGCACGCUGGAGACGGCGACGUGUGAGCGAGGGUCUCUGAAUCGCCUCACGAACUGCAGGACCCUAUCGUGAAAAGCGGAGGGCGGCGAAUGCCGUCGGGAAGCACCGGAGGAAGCCGGUGGAAAAUUCUGUUUUUCGCGAGGAACCCGUAGAGCCUCCGGGACUACAGGGCGCAUGACCCUGCGGCCUCAGAACCGCGCGCCCCGUCGUGAUUGAGACCACGCGAUGCGCGAGGAUCAACGCGCAGCCCCUAAUGGGGGGUCGUGGUGUCGAUGACGGAUCGUUUGCGAUCCCCCGUUUUGCAUGCGUACGUAGGGGUUAUAUUUGGCGGACCUAGCCCGAAAUUUUAUCGUUGUUGGCGAAGCAACCGUGUCGGAAGAACCUCCCUUAGACUGUGACCUGGUAACGGAGGAGAGGACAAACUAGAAGGAGCGUUAUCAGAGAUGUGGCCCGUACUUUGCGACGAUAAUGUGAAGCCACCGGCGAGCCACCUCGUUCUUGUUCUGCAUCCGACGCAGAUUAGUGUUCGUGUUGCAUCAGCCGCGGGGCGGCCUUGCGAUUGUAGGUUUAUCGUCGGAUUCAAGCGAGAGGGGCUGUAUCACGUCGGAUAUCAUGGUUAAGGAGGAGAGCGGAUCGCGUUGGUGAUUUCCCCAGGAAGUUAGCACUGUGUGCGUCUCGCUCGUGCAAGUCGUGUUGCGCCGCGUGGGAAAAGUAGUCCUCGCGGAUAUCGUUCGCGAGUGUCGCGUCGCGCGAGAAGUUUUCGUGUCAAGAUCGGGAAGGUCAAACAGCAUGAGUCGACUAUCGUGGAACGCAUGGUCUUGUUACGGCCAACACCCUCGCGAAUUCGCGUCCGCGAUGCCGGGAUUGUUGGCAUGCCUCGAUUAUCCGGAAUAAAAGUACCGGAUCUUUCGUGCGUGAUUGGCCGUAAUCGCGUGCUACGGAAUUAUCGGAAUCCAAGUUCGGUCAUUUGCACGGGUGAAUUUCGCCUUAUAAAUUCUUCGAUUUAGCAUCUCCAUUUGCUGUUUUAAUAAAUUCUUGUUACUUGUUAUGCACUGUAUCACUAAAAUUAUUUGGUUCCUUGUCAUGUUCUGCGCUAUCUUGGUCGCAUGCGCCCCUAUCAUCAACCCUGCUCCUCUGCCGUUUGGACGAGCUAGCCGUCUUUUACGUAUGGAUUGAGGCUCUUGGUGAGUUUUGCGAAUUGACGUGCCGUCGAUCACGUCUGGCGCCCAACCCGGUCGUUUAUGCGCGGCCGAAAUUCACGCCCGGAAUAUUAGGCAUACGGGCCGUCUUGGCCUUCAUCGUUUUUGUCGUUGUUUUUGAUUGCGGCUUUCCUGCGCGGAGGAAAAAAUCGUGACAUAUAUAUUCGUAUAUAUUGCACAAUUACACUUUUAAAGAUUAGAGAGGCAAUGAAAAUAAAAGGUCGAAGCAGUCAAAGUCAGUUAAGUAGAAAAAUGGAUUAUGUUUAUUGAUGUUUAUUCGCGCUCUUCUUUCAAAUACUGCAUUCUAAACAGUGACUACCAUAUAAAUUACUAAAAAUUCCUAGAGAACAAGCUCCAUUUAGAAGGAAACCUUAAGAUCUCAUUAUAAAACAAGGAGGUCUUGAUAACAUAAGGAAUCGUCCAAUAAGGCUUCUUCAGUCUUUAAGAUAAGGAUUAUUUAUAAAUACGGGUGUUAUUCAAUACAAAAAAUGAAAAUUUUAUGUAACUUAUCUGAUUAUACAACGCAUAGUUCCCUUGUAAGUUUCAAAUUAGCACAGUCGUAUUUCCGUCCACAAUGUAAUCCACGAUGUAAUAUGCAAAUUAUGCAUAAAACUAAAAAUAAAACUAACUCGCCACUAACCUCGCGCACGUCAUCAUGUCACUAACCUCGCCACUAACCUCAUAUCAUCGCCGUGAAACUCACCGCGAAUUAACCUAACGCACGGUCACGCGAACUCGACCGCCAAUUAAAAUACGUAACCUCUCGUGUCCGUGUCAAUUUGUGUGAAGUCACCUAUCGCGCGAAAAGCAACAGUACAAACUCCUACUAUUCGUCCUGAGCGCCGGACGAUGACGACGAUGACGACAUAACGAUGUUUCUUAACUAGAUUUACUUUUGAGCGAAAAACUUUAAACGCGAUAUCUCCGCUCGUAAAUCACGUAGCGAAAAAAUAAAAAAACUUUUAUUAUAUAAAUCGGAUGCAAGCUAUCCAUUAAACUGAUUUAGAAAUCAAUGGAUUCAGUCGUUACUGAGAGUCAAUAAUCUACGAAAUCUCACAAACAGCGUCUCGCAUAAAAGAGGCAGCGGUGGUGCCUCGCUGCGCGUACACUUGGCGCGAGGCACUACCAUGAAUCUUGAUAUCUAAAGAUUUAUCUUUAGAUAUAGAUAAUAAUACAUUAAGUUUGGCAUCUAAUUUUUAAAAAAUAAUGUAUAUUUAAUAAAUAAAACGAUAUGAAUAGUAUUAAAUAACGUAUUUAAAUAACGCCAGCUGGCGCACCUCCUGCAACCCUUUGCCGCCGAGCGCGUCAACUGCGCUCGGCUUAUCUCAGCCAAAACUAGGCGUGUUCGUCGCAGGCUCGAUGGAUGGCGUCUUGGUUAAUGGAAUGAGACGGUUUUUGCUGCCUUGUGGUCGCGGCGAGCGGCGCGCGAAGUUUCGCUCGAAUUUAAUGCACUUUGCUUUCGAUAUAUUUUGCUCGCAAUAGCAUACAGCGGGUUUUCGUCCGUGAGAAAAUCACUCGAAAUUCUAUUACGCAAUAAACGCACUCGAGAUUUGCAAAGAUACGCGAUGUCGAUUUAACUUGUGACAUGCGCGGAAACGGCGGUCUGUUCACAACUUUCGAAAGCCGACUGACUGCCGAGACACGGCAUCCUGAGCUCACCAUGCCGUCGCUCUUCGCAGGACAGUCCGAUUACACGUGUCCUACCAAUUAUUUGAAGAAUAGAUCAUGUUGCUGCCACGCGCGAGCCAGCCGACGGAAUUCUCGCUCGAGCCUGGCAAUCGAAAAUAAGACUGACCUUUCCAGCUUGCUCUCGGACACACUUUUUAUGUUUUACUCUAUUCAUUUCACUUUUUCACCAAGUAACAAUUUACAGAAAUUAGUUAUGCCACUAGGUUUUCAUUUUUCCGUCAGUACAUUUGAUGGUGGAAAAGUUUUCACGUGAAAAGUUUCAUGUUUCUACAUUUCGUUGAGGUACACGAGUUUACGUGAAACUUUUCAUUUUUCAUCCUAAGGAAAAAGUUACACAAUUGAUGUUUAGAAUAAAAUACUAAAUUAAAUUAACCAUGUGAAAAAAA
This 7025-nucleotide long non-coding RNA is filed under the name Monomorium pharaonis (pharaoh ant). RNAcentral describes it as "uncharacterized LOC118647102". Lineage: Eukaryota; Metazoa; Arthropoda; Insecta; Hymenoptera; Formicidae. The record is from RNAcentral.